UGCACCAGACGCCCGGGUCCUCGCCAGGCCGAGAGUUGAGUCAGCCCUCGGUCCCCCGGCCACACUGUUGGGGUGGACGAGCCCAGACAGCCGGAGGAUUCUUGUCCCGGCUCCCAUCAAGCAGCCGCUGUUUGCCAGGCCCAGGGGAGGCUGACUCCCUGCUGAUGCAUCUGGGAAAGUAGUGGAAGAUGGCCCAAGUCCUUGGGCCAAUGUACCCAUGCGGGAGACCCAGAAGAAGCUCCUGGCUCCUGGCUAUGGCCUGGCCCAGCCCCAGCCAUUGCUGCCAUUUGAGGAGUGAACCAGCAGGUUCCAAGAAAGGAGAAAAAGUGGCUUCUCCAGGAGAGAGGUGGCGAGCUUUGAAGGGGGGAGGAAACCCAAGCCGCAAGAGGAAGUGGAAGACCAGGCUCUCUGCUGUGGCCUGGGAAAGCAGUAGAAGAUGGCCCAAGUCCUUGGGCCCCUGCACCCGUGUGGGAGAUCCGGAAGAAGCUCCUGACCCCUGGCUUCGGAUCAGCACAGCUCCGGCCGUUGCGGCCAAAUGGGGAGUGAACCAAAGGAUGGAAGACCUCUCUCUGUCUCUACCUCUCUCUGAAACUCUGCCUUUCAA
Oryctolagus cuniculus (rabbit) is the source of this 604-nucleotide long non-coding RNA. RefSeq lists it as uncharacterized. NCBI's taxonomy places the organism in Eukaryota, Metazoa, Chordata, Mammalia, Lagomorpha, Leporidae. The record is from RefSeq and is a predicted model, not a curated record.